Molecule: ribosomal RNA, 484 nt
Filed under: uncultured bacterium
Lineage: Bacteria
Description: partial 16S ribosomal RNA
Rfam family: Bacterial small subunit ribosomal RNA
Source: RNAcentral
AUUGAACGCUGGCGGCAGGCCUAACACAUGCAAGUCGAGCGGAUGAAGGGAGCUUGCUCCUGGAUUCAGCGGCGGACGGGUGAGUAAUGCCUAGGAAUCUGCCUGGUAGUGGGGGAUAACGUCCGGAAACGGGCGCUAAUACCGCAUACGUCCUGAGGGAGAAAGUUGGGGAUCUUCGGACCUCACGCUAUCAGAUGAGCCUAGGUCGGAUUAGCUAGUUGGUGGGGUAAAGGCCUACCAAGGCGACGAUCCGUAACUGGUCUGAGAGGAUGAUCAGUCACCCUGGAACUGAGACACGGUCCAGACUCCUACGAGAGGCAGCAGUGGGGAAUAUUGGACAAUGGACGAAAGCCUGAUCCAGCCAUGCCGAGUGUGUGAAGAAGGUCUUCGGAUUGUAAAGAACUUUAAGUUGGGAGGAAGGGCAGUAAGUUAAUACCUUGCUGUUUUGACGUUACCAACAGAAUAAGCACCGGCUAACUUCGUG